GUAGGGUGCGAGCGUUAAUCGGAAUUACUGGGCGUAAAGCGUGCGCAGGCGGUUGUGCAAGACAGAUGUGAAAUCCCCGGGCUUAACCUGGGAAUUGCAUUUGUGACUGCACGGCUAGAGUGUGUCAGAGGGGGGUAGAAUUCCACGUGUAGCAGUGAAAUGCGUAGAUAUGUGGAGGAAUACCGAUGGCGAAGGCAGCCCCCUGGGAUAACACUGACGCUCAUGCACGAAAGCGUGGGGAGCAAACAGGAUUAGAUACCCUGGUAGUCCACGCCCUAAACGAUGUCUACUAGUUGUCGGGUCUUAAUUGACUUGGUAACGCASUAACGCGUGAAGUAGACCGCCUGGGGAGUACGGUCGCAAGAUUA
This 368-nucleotide ribosomal RNA is filed under the name uncultured bacterium. RNAcentral's name for it is "bacterial SSU rRNA". It matches the Rfam family "Bacterial small subunit ribosomal RNA", at positions 527 to 896 of the family's 1533-position model. The record is from RNAcentral.